This is a long non-coding RNA of Salvia miltiorrhiza (redroot sage), 634 nucleotides long. RefSeq lists it as uncharacterized. The record is from RefSeq and is a predicted model, not a curated record. NCBI's taxonomy places the organism in Eukaryota, Viridiplantae, Streptophyta, Magnoliopsida, Lamiales, Lamiaceae. The transcript is spliced from 3 exons.
CUUAAUUAUUGAGAUUUUUUUUAAGUUAUUCAAGUGAGGUUUUAUAUUAUUAAAUUAUGAAAGAAAAUGUUGAAUUAUUUUGUGAGUUAGUUAAAAUGUAGAAUUUUAAACCCACACAUACUAGUAACAUUUUAUUACUUACUUUUACUAAACCUAAUAAGAUAUAUAUAUAUAUAUAUAUAUUGGCUUAUAAGGGAAGAAAGCCCAUUUUUCUUCUUCCCCUGGCAGACGUCCAACCCCUUCCCCAUCAAACCUCCAUUCUUUUUAUUUGCAAGCUCAAAUCUUAGCCUCUAAAAUCUCAAAUAUCAUUCAUAGAUCACAGAUUGAGGUUCGAGUGGCUUUAUAAAGUAAACAAGCAAGGAUCUCUACUUCAUUAAGCAUACCAGGUUGAGCAAUGGCUGAUGAAGAUGAAGUGAUGAGCGGAGCUUUUGUCAUAAGUUUAAUAAAUGGACUCUUGGAUACAUGUCUCCAUACAUGUAAUCAGAUUAUGUUAUUCCGCUGCAUACUCUCAAGUAAUAUGUCUUUAAGCUAAGUCGGGUUCAUCCGAACUUACGAGUUAAUCGAGUCCUUGCGACUAAACAACAGUUAUCUUAUGAUUGUCCCUCCUUAACAAUGAUUUGAUUUCGAGCCUUCA